This 2435-nucleotide ribosomal RNA is filed under the name Salmonella enterica. RNAcentral's name for it is "partial 23S ribosomal RNA". It matches the Rfam family "Bacterial large subunit ribosomal RNA", at positions 484 to 2802 of the family's 2925-position model. The record is from RNAcentral. Lineage: Bacteria; Pseudomonadati; Pseudomonadota; Gammaproteobacteria; Enterobacterales; Enterobacteriaceae.
CCGAUAGUGAACCAGUACCGUGAGGGAAAGGCGAAAAGAACCCCGGCGAGGGGAGUGAAAAAGAACCUGAAACCGUGUACGUACAAGCAGUGGGAGCCCCACCACUAAGCCAGUGGUGAACUCCACAUACGCAUCCUUUGCUGAGGAUACGGUUAACGGAGCGAAAGCGACGUUCAACCGCAAAAGAAGCAGAGGGGGCUUAGUGGUGGGGUGACUGCGUACCUUUUGUAUAAUGGGUCAGCGACUUAUAUUCUGUAGCAAGGUUAACCGUAUAGGGGAGCCGCAGGGAAACCGAGUCUUAACCGGGCGUUAAGUUGCAGGGUAUAGACCCGAAACCCGGUGAUCUAGCCAUGGGCAGGUUGAAGGUUGGGUAACACUAACUGGAGGACCGAACCGACUAAUGUUGAAAAAUUAGCGGAUGACCUGUGGCUGGGGGUGAAAGGCCAAUCAAACCGGGAGAUAGCUGGUUCUCCCCGAAAGCUAUUUAGGUAGCGCCUCGUGAACUCAUCUCCGGGGGUAGAGCACUGUUUCGGCUAGGGGGCCAUCCCGGCUUACCAACCCGAUGCAAACUGCGAAUACCGGAGAAUGUUAUCACGGGAGACACACGGCGGGUGCUAACGUCCGUCGUGAAGAGGGAAACAACCCAGACCGCCAGCUAAGGUCCCAAAGUCAUGGUUAAGUGGGAAACGAUGUGGGAAGGCCCAGACAGCCAGGAUGUUGGCUUAGAAGCAGCCAUCAUUUAAAGAAAGCGUAAUAGCUCACUGGUCGAGUCGGCCUGCGCGGAAGAUGUAACGGGGCUAAACCAUGCACCGAAGCUGCGGCAGCGACACUAUGUGUUGUUGGGUAGGGGAGCGUUCUGUAAGCCUGUGAAGGUGGCCUGUGAGGGUUGCUGGAGGUAUCAGAAGUGCGAAUGCUGACAUAAGUAACGAUAAAGCGGGUGAAAAGCCCGCUCGCCGGAAGACCAAGGGUUCCUGUCCAACGUUAAUCGGGGCAGGGUGAGUCGACCCCUAAGGCGAGGCCGAAAGGCGUAGUCGAUGGGAAACGGGUUAAUAUUCCCGUACUUGGUGUUACUGCGAAGGGGGGACGGAGAAGGCUAUGUUGGCCGGGCGACGGUUGUCCCGGUUUAAGCGUGUAGGUGUGUGUUCCAGGUAAAUCCGGUUCACUUUAACACUGAGGCGUGAUGACGAGGCACUACGGUGCUGAAGCAACAAAUGCCCUGCUUCCAGGAAAAGCCUCUAAGCAUCAGGUAACAUCAAAUCGUACCCCAAACCGACACAGGUGGUCAGGUAGAGAAUACCAAGGCGCUUGAGAGAACUCGGGUGAAGGAACUAGGCAAAAUGGUGCCGUAACUUCGGGAGAAGGCACGCUGACAUGUAGGUGAAGUGAUUUACUCAUGGAGCUGAAGUCAGUCGAAGAUACCAGCUGGCUGCAACUGUUUAUUAAAAACACAGCACUGUGCAAACACGAAAGUGGACGUAUACGGUGUGACGCCUGCCCGGUGCCGGAAGGUUAAUUGAUGGGGUCAGCGCAAGCGAAGCUCCUGAUCGAAGCCCCGGUAAACGGCGGCCGUAACUAUAACGGUCCUAAGGUAGCGAAAUUCCUUGUCGGGUAAGUUCCGACCUGCACGAAUGGCGUAAUGAUGGCCAGGCUGUCUCCACCCGAGACUCAGUGAAAUUGAACUCGCUGUGAAGAUGCAGUGUACCCGCGGCAAGACGGAAAGACCCCGUGAACCUUUACUAUAGCUUGACACUGAACAUUGAGCCUUGAUGUGUAGGAUAGGUGGGAGGCUUUGAAGUGUGGACGCCAGUCUGCAUGGAGCCGACCUUGAAAUACCACCCUUUAAUGUUUGAUGUUCUAACGUGGACCCGUAAUCCGGGUUGCGGACAGUGUCUGGUGGGUAGUUUGACUGGGGCGGUCUCCUCCUAAAGAGUAACGGAGGAGCACGAAGGUUGGCUAAUCCUGGUCGGACAUCAGGAGGUUAGUGCAAUGGCAUAAGCCAGCUUGACUGCGAGCGUGACGGCGCGAGCAGGUGCGAAAGCAGGUCAUAGUGAUCCGGUGGUUCUGAAUGGAAGGGCCAUCGCUCAACGGAUAAAAGGUACUCCGGGGAUAACAGGCUGAUACCGCCCAAGAGUUCAUAUCGACGGCGGUGUUUGGCACCUCGAUGUCGGCUCAUCACAUCCUGGGGCUGAAGUAGGUCCCAAGGGUAUGGCUGUUCGCCAUUUAAAGUGGUACGCGAGCUGGGUUUAGAACGUCGUGAGACAGUUCGGUCCCUAUCUGCCGUGGGCGCUGGAGAACUGAGGGGGGCUGCUCCUAGUACGAGAGGACCGGAGUGGACGCAUCACUGGUGUUCGGGUUGUCAUGCCAAUGGCACUGCCCGGUAGCUAAAUGCGGAAGAGAUAAGUGCUGAAAGCAUCUAAGCACGAAACUUGCCCCGA